UACACUCCUGCGGGAGGCAGCAGUGGGGAAUUUUGGACAAUGGGCGAAAGCCUGAUCCAGCAAUGCCGCGUGUGUGAAGAAGGCCUUCGGGUUGUAAAGCACUUUUGUCCGGAAAGAAAUCCUUGGCUCUAAUACAGUCGGGGGAUGACGGUACCGGAAGAAUAAGCACCGGCUAACUACGUGCCAGCAGCCGCGGUAAUACGUAGGGUGCGAGCGUUAAUCGGAAUUACUGGGCGUAAAGCGUGCGCAGGCGGUUUGCUAAGACCGAUGUGAAAUCCCCGGGCUCAACCUGGGAACUGCAUUGGUGACUGGCAGGCUAGAGUAUGGCAGAGGGGGGUAGAAUUCCACGUGUAGCAGUGAAAUGCGUAGAGAUGUGGAGGAAUACCGAUGGCGAAGGCAGCCCCCUGGGCCAAUACUGACGCUCAUGCACGAAAGCGUGGGGAGCAAACAGGAGUAGAAACCCUAGUAGUCCCAUG
RNAcentral lists this ribosomal RNA (476 nucleotides) under uncultured organism. Its description in RNAcentral is "partial 16S ribosomal RNA". It matches the Rfam family "Bacterial small subunit ribosomal RNA", at positions 332 to 799 of the family's 1533-position model. The record is from RNAcentral.